GAUGAACGCUGGCGGCGUGCCUAAUACAUGCCAGUCGAGCGAACAGACGAGGAGCUUGCUCCUCUGACGUUAGCGGCGGACGGGUGAGUAACACGUGGAUAACCUACCUAUAAGACUGGGAUAACUUCGGGAAACCGGAGCUAAUACCGGAUAAUAUAUUGAACCGCAUGGUUCAAUAGUGAAAGACGGUUUUGCUGUCACUUAUAGAUGGAUCCGCGCCGCAUUAGCUAGUUGGUAAGGUAACGGCUUACCAAGGCAACGAUGUGUAGCCGACCUGAGAGGGUGAUCGGCCACACUGGAACUGAGACACGGUCCAGACUCCUACGGGAGGCAGCAGUAGGGAAUCUUCCGCAAUGGGCGAAAGCUUGACGGAGCAACGCCGCGUGAGUGAUGAAGGUCUUCGGAUCGUAAAACUCUGUUAUUAGGGAAGAACAAAUGUGUAAGUAACUAUGCACGUCUUGACGGUACCUAAUCAGAAAGCCACGGCUAACUACGUG
Molecule: ribosomal RNA, 497 nt
Filed under: uncultured bacterium
Lineage: Bacteria
Description: partial 16S ribosomal RNA
Rfam family: Bacterial small subunit ribosomal RNA
Source: RNAcentral